UCUAUUGUUCCGUCGAGGGAUAGAUACCUAUAAAAGAAAAGUGUGGAAGACAAAUUUAUCAGGAGCUCAAUCUGGACGAAUUCGCCGCCAGUUCAACAGCUCUGCUAUACAAAUACAGCUUCCAUUUGGACCAAAAGAGCCAUAAAGUUUGAAAAACAAUGAAAAUUUCACUAGUUGCCGCUGCAUUGUUACUGGUGGCACAUUUGGUGGAAGCCACCAGUGAGAAAUCGGGGAACGAAGUUUAUUCUGCCCAGAAACGGUCUUCACUCACGAAAGGUCUUGCUCGCAGAAGAGCAUGCGGCUCCAUUAACUGCAAGGUGUCGGGCUGUGAGUCCAGGGGUGGCUGGUGGUUUGUGUCGAAUUCCGCCGGCUGGAACAUCCGGGGCUCUGACCGCGGUUGCUGUGGCAACUACGGUGGCUGUUGCAAGCAUGCUUCAGACUUGUGCUACAUACACGACUACACGUGUCGCUGUUGUAUACCUAGAUUGUAUUGUGGACCCCAGUGCAAGAAAAAUUCGGGCUGUUGACACCUUGUCCUAAAUAUCAUUACUUGAAACAAAUUUGCAUUUACCAGGCUACGUUCGGUUUGCCCUUUCUAAAGGACCCUAGACUUUGCUGACAUUGGAAAUAGUUCCUAUACAGAUUGUAGUAGAUUUUUCAUUUUAGUGUAAACUUUGUAAUAUCCACCUUUGGCACGAGCUCCUGAAAAUGAAAUGACUACAUGAAUGUUCAAGAUCGUCACCACGAUUGGCGUUUGUAAAAGAACACUAUAUUAGACCAUUAACCGUUUCAGCGGCCAAAAUGGUCAUCAUAUAUGCAUAACAGAUAUCAAA
Lingula anatina is the source of this 833-nucleotide long non-coding RNA. NCBI's taxonomy places the organism in Eukaryota, Metazoa, Brachiopoda, Lingulata, Lingulida, Lingulidae. The record is from RefSeq and is a predicted model, not a curated record.